Molecule: long non-coding RNA, 213 nt
Filed under: Mytilus galloprovincialis (Mediterranean mussel)
Lineage: Eukaryota; Metazoa; Mollusca; Bivalvia; Mytilida; Mytilidae
Source: RNAcentral
CCCCCACCUCAGUAUCCAUAUCAAUAACAAACUUCACCUGCAUAUCUGCAUAUGGGAUAUACAUUUCCCAACUUGUUCGGUAUUCAAGACCAUGCAGCUCCUACUCAGACUUUGUAAACGUCACCAGAAUCUUGGCAGAAAGUUGAUGAACCAGAAUUAUGUCAAAGAACGUCUCGUCAUUAUUCUAAAAAGGUUUUUAAUUUUAUUAAUUUU